Molecule: non-coding RNA, 62 nt
Filed under: unclassified sequences
Source: RNAcentral
CGAAAAUAGAGUUGCAGGUCGGUAGCUCCUGCGCCCGUUCAUCGGGUUCUUCCCAGCCACGG